This 88-nucleotide ribosomal RNA is filed under the name uncultured bacterium. RNAcentral describes it as "partial 16S ribosomal RNA". The record is from RNAcentral.
CAACACCCGAAGCCGGUGGCCAACCCUUGUGGUAGGGAGCCGUCGAAGGUGGGGCUCGGCGAUUGGGCGAAGUCGUAAACAAGGUACC